Molecule: ribosomal RNA, 501 nt
Filed under: uncultured bacterium
Lineage: Bacteria
Description: bacterial SSU rRNA
Rfam family: Bacterial small subunit ribosomal RNA
Source: RNAcentral
GAUGAACGCUAGCUACAGGCUUAACACAUGCAAGUCGAGGGGAACGAUAUUGGAAGCUUGCUUCUGAUAGGCGUCGACCGGCGCACGGGUGAGUAACGCGUAUCCAACCUGCCCAUCACUUGGGGAUAACCUUGCGAAAGUAAGACUAAUACCCAAUGACGUCUCUAGAAGACAUCUGAAAGGGAUUAAAGAUUUAUCGGUGAUGGAUGGGGAUGCGUCUGAUUAGCUUGUUGGCGGGGUAACGGCCCACCAAGGCGACGAUCAGUAGGGGUUCUGAGAGGAAGGUCCCCCACAUUGGAACUGAGACACGGUCCAAACUCCUACGGGAGGCAGCAGUGAGGAAUAUUGGUCAAUGGGCGAGAGCCUGAACCAGCCAAGUAGCGUGCAGGAUGACGGCCCUAUGGGUUGUAAACUGCUUUUAUAAGGGAAUAAAGUGGGAGUCGUGACUCUUUUUGCAUGUACCUUAUGAAUAAGGACCGGCUAAUUCCGUGCCAGCAGCCG